This 567-nucleotide ribosomal RNA is filed under the name uncultured fungus. RNAcentral describes it as "eukaryotic LSU rRNA". The stretch from base 210 to 363 matches the Rfam family "5.8S ribosomal RNA". The record is from RNAcentral. Lineage: Eukaryota; Fungi.
CUUGGUCAUUUAGAGGAAGUAAAAGUCGUAACAAGGUUUCCGUAGGUGAACCUGCGGAAGGAUCAUUACCUAGAGUUGUAGGCUUUGCCUGCUAUCUCUUACCCAUGUCUUUUGAGUACCUUACGUUUCCUCGGUGGGUUCGCCCACCGAUUGGACAAAUUUAAACCCUUUGCAGUUGAAAUCAGCGUCUGAAAAAACUUAAUAGUUACAACUUUCAACAACGGAUCUCUUGGUUCUGGCAUCGAUGAAGAACGCAGCGAAAUGCGAUAAGUAGUGUGAAUUGCAGAAUUCAGUGAAUCAUCGAAUCUUUGAACGCACAUUGCGCCCCUUGGUAUUCCAUGGGGCAUGCCUGUUCGAGCGUCAUUUGUACCUUCAAGCUCUGCUUGGUGUUGGGUGUUUGUCUCCUGUAGACUCGCCUUAAAACAAUUGGCAGCCGGCGUAUUGAUUUCGGAGCGCAGUACAUCUCGCGCUUUGCACUCAUAACGACGACAUCCAAAAGUACAUUUUUACACUCUUGACCUCGGAUCAGGUAGGGAUACCCGCUGAACUUAAGCAUAUCAAUAAGCG